UUUAGAGUGAGUGCAGUAACACUGGGAUAUAAGUGGGUGCGCUGUAUCAGAGUGAAUGAUCUACGGAUAGAUUUUGCAGGCCAACAAAUUAAAAAGACCUGUGUUACAUUGGAUGGUUGCUGAAGCAUAUGUAGUACAUUAGAUAUUUCAGUUGUAGCUGGUAUCAAGUUUGAAUGAAAGGUUUAUAGAUCCUUAUAAUGGUUAUAGUACCUGGUUGUAUUGCAUAAGAGUAAGGGAAGAUAAAUAACUGCGCAUUUUUAUUAUUUAAAUUGAGUGAUUCGAACUGACGUAUGUUUGCAGGUUUGAGUGAUUCAACCGUGUAUGUUUGCAGGUUUGAGUGAUUCAACCAUGUAUGUUUGCAGGUUUGAGUGAUUCAACCGUGUAUGUUUGCAGGUUUGAGUGAUUCGAACUGAUGUAUGUUUGAAGGUUUGAGAGAGUUGAACCGUAUGAUUGUGGUACAUUAGGUAUUAAGUCAAUGUACUAGGUUAUGUUUUGAAACGGUAAAGGAGAAGUGCACGGUGUUUACUAGACAGUGGCUAGAUUGGGACACAUUCUAAGGCAGCACACAAUUGAACCUGAUCAUUUAUAUUGUAUUCAAAUUAAAAACAAGUAAUUGAAAUACAUUAGACAAUGGCUAAUCAGGAGGCAGAGAAGGUGUUGAAAAUAUUGAAAUCAGCAUUAGAGACCAAUGGAGGAAAAGAGGGAAAGGACUGGAAGAAGAAAGGAGAAAAACUAUACAGGGAGUGGACAGAAGAGGGCGGCAUUGCCGCGCCCAACGGGCUCCCAGUCGAGGGGGAACCUGGUAGGAUAUUGGAGACGUUGAAGCGG
Molecule: long non-coding RNA, 828 nt
Organism: Oncorhynchus tshawytscha (Chinook salmon)
Lineage: Eukaryota; Metazoa; Chordata; Actinopteri; Salmoniformes; Salmonidae
Source: Ensembl